This 94-nucleotide microRNA precursor is filed under the name Canis lupus familiaris (dog). Its description in RNAcentral is "mir-8834 microRNA precursor family". It matches the Rfam family "mir-8834 microRNA precursor family". Lineage: Eukaryota; Metazoa; Chordata; Mammalia; Carnivora; Canidae. The record is from Rfam by way of RNAcentral.
AGGAGGAACAGCCCCAGUGGCGGGGCAGCUCUGGAGCCCUGGGUUCAGCUCCGGCAGGAACUCAGUCUGCAGGGCCUGGAGGCUCCGGGGCGGG